UGGGGAAUAUUGCGCAAUGGGGGGAACCCUGACGCAGCCAUGCCGCGUGAAUGAAGAAGGCCUUCGGGUUGUAAAGUUCUUUCGGUAUUGAGGAAGGUUGAUGUGUUAAUAGCACAUCAAAUUGACGUUAAAUACAGAAGAAGCACCGGCUAACUCCGUGCCAGCAGCCGCGGUAAUACGGAGGGUGCGAGCGUUAAUCGGAAUAACUGGGCGUAAAGGGCACGCAGGCGGUUAUUUAAGUGAGGUGUGAAAGCCCUGGGCUUAACCUAGGAAUUGCAUUUCAGACUGGGUAACUAGAGUACUUUAGGGAGGGGUAGAAUUCCACGUGUAGCGGUGAAAUGCGUAGAGAUGUGGAGGAAUACCGAAGGCGAAGGCAGCCCCUUGGGAAUGUACUGACGCUCAUGUGCGAAAGCGUGGGGAGCAAACAGGAUUAGAUACCCUGGUAGUCCACGGUGUAAACGCUGUCGAUUUGGGGAUUGGGCUUAGAGCUUGGUGCCCGUAGCUAACGUGAUAAAUCGACCGCCUGGGGAGUACGGCCGCAAGGUU
This 546-nucleotide ribosomal RNA is filed under the name uncultured bacterium. RNAcentral describes it as "bacterial SSU rRNA". It matches the Rfam family "Bacterial small subunit ribosomal RNA", at positions 355 to 895 of the family's 1533-position model. The record is from RNAcentral.